CAGCAACAAGUAACAUGUUGUUGCUACUCCUAAAUAAAGGAAGGAUGCUGAAUCAUAGCUUGACAAUGAAACUUUAUUUACUUUUUGUCAAGACAAAAUAAUUUAUGAAGAAGAAUAGGGUACCAGUGUCUGACAACCCCAGUGUGGAACGCAUAGAGGAGGGUGACUUCAUGGCAGAGGGUCUUGGAGGCCUACAGUCACGUUCAAAGGCUGACCUGGUUGCCAUGGUGCUGAGCAUGCAGCGAGAGAUGGACAACAUGAGGGAGCAAAUCAGAUGCCUCACAGCGUGUGGAAAGUUGGCACGUAACCUGGAGGCCCUGAUUGAGAGGACGGAGGUGUGGUCGAGCAGCACGGACCGCAGAACUACAUCUCCCAGCAUGCCUGAGAUCCUGGUGAGGAGUGGUGCCAUGACAACGUCGGCCCUGCUGGCCUCUCCAGGGGUGCUGAACGGGUGCUGGGCAGCCAAACUAGAGCCCCUCCACCCCCACCAGAAUGGACAACCUCCUGGGUCUCAUGAGGGGGGUUCCCAGAUCAACGGACCACCUCUCUAUCAGGAGUUCAUCACUGCGGAGCUGCUUGACCGCUGUAACACGGGGACCACUGCCCAGAAGCUGACCAAUGACCUGCUCCGGGGCCUCUAUGAAAGGGACUGCCUGGCCUCUCACUCCAUCUCCGGCAUCGUCAACAACAAGAGGGGCCAACCCAAGCCUGCCCUGCCUGCAGACGAGAUCCAGGCAAUACUGAGGGCGGUGCAGCACUACUUCCCAGGGAAGACAGACUCGGAGAUCAAGGGCUACAUCCGCCAGAAGCUGCAGAACGAAGCCAAGCGGCUCCGCAAGAAGCCUCAUCUGGCCGUGAAGGUGGAGCCAGAGGCCGGGGCUGAGGGGGCGGAGACUACUUUCUACACCUAAGCGGUGUGGCCCCGCCGAACCCCACCCCCUGUUCCACCCAGGGAGUGAAGUGCCCCGCCUCUGUCCAGGUUAAAGUGCAAUUAUGGGAGGGAGACUCGCGUAAAAACUGCUGUGAGAGGGAACCAAAAUGGAGCAGCCUUAUCAACACCAGUCUAGUCUAUCUGUUUGUCUGUCCAUUCCCAGCCACGUCUCUGGGCUGGGGGAGAAAUAGGCUAGUGAGGGAGGAGUCUAUUUGUCUGACAACGUGAUCAUUCCAGGGGAAGUGUUAUGGACUCCAGUCUGAUCAAGACUAGUUACUGCUCAGGUGAAGUUAGAUGAUACUGUAGCUUAUUCUUCCUCUGCCCUCUGGCAUCGUUGUCAAGCCUCAGCCAGCUAGCCAGCCAGCAGUAGUAGGCCUAGUAGAUGGCAAGUGAUUUGUUACCAAGUUUAGUACUCUUGUUUCUGUGAAAGGGGUAGCAGUCAGUUGGUGCUCUAUAGAGAAGUCGUAACAGAAGUCCUGAACAGCAUAGCCGUCAGCGAAGCUGCGCUGCACUCUGUGUCACUUCAGUUUGAUUUACAGUAUUGUCAUUGACCUCGUGAAAUGAACCUAGCCUUAGUAUUGAAUUAAUUUCAAUUUUGCUGAAUAAAAAAAUGACUGUUUUUUUCCCAAA
RNAcentral lists this long non-coding RNA (1561 nucleotides) under Salmo salar (Atlantic salmon). Its description in RNAcentral is "lncRNA (ENSSSAG00000108843.1)". The record is from RNAcentral. Lineage: Eukaryota; Metazoa; Chordata; Actinopteri; Salmoniformes; Salmonidae.